UACGUAGGGUGCGAGCGUUAAUCGGAAUUACUGGGCGUAAAGCGUGCGCAGGCGGUUAUAUAAGACCGUUGUGAAAUCCCCGGGCUCAACCUGGGAAUUGCAUCUGUGACUGUAUAGCUAGAGUACGGUAGAGGGGGAUGGAAUUCCGCGUGUAGCAGUGAAAUGCGUAGAUAUGCGGAGGAACACCGAUGGCGAAGGCAAUCCCCUGGACCUGUACUGACGCUCAUGCACGAAAGCGUGGGGAGCAAACAGG
RNAcentral lists this ribosomal RNA (253 nucleotides) under uncultured bacterium. Its description in RNAcentral is "partial 16S ribosomal RNA". It matches the Rfam family "Bacterial small subunit ribosomal RNA", at positions 524 to 776 of the family's 1533-position model. The record is from RNAcentral.